UCAGGCAAGUCUAACAAGUACAAUAACUGUGGAAUAAUGGCACGAUUUUUCCCAAACCAAAAGGAAACUAUUCCUGAUUUCCAUCUCUUACCUAUGGUUUUAAGGAACACUCUUCAAAUUCUCUACAAUUUUAAGACAAAAAAGGAGAAAACUUUCAUCUUUAUCUCUGACUAAAUUGGAAUUCGAAAGAGUAGAUUCAUACUAAUUUGAAGAUUGGGAGGAAUUAGAGCAUGUAUCAAUGAUUCAUUAAAGGUUUGCAAUUUGUGAGAGCUUGAUAUUCGGUAUUCAAGAAUCAGGUUAUAUUGCUUCAUCUUUUAAUAGUUUUAAUUUCAUAAUUUUACUUAUAUUAUUAUUAUAAUGUUAGCCACGAAAAUAUAUAUCAGGAUGGAAAAUGAAAAAAAAAAGAAAAAACUCAAGAAAUAAUAGAACAACAAAAGGGAGCUUUAGAUAAAUUUGUUAACAAACAACACAGAGAAUUUUAACAAUAAUAGAUUGGAUGAAGAAGAAAAUGUUCACGACUCGAAUGACGACGACAAUAUUUUGAAUGAUAAUAAUGAUAAUAAAUUAGGGCUUACUUGAUGAGAAUGAUAAUGUAUGUCAUGAGUCAAAUACUAAUGUUGAUUAUGAACAAGUUCCUAUUUUGGAUAUUUACGAUCUAAUAAAUUAGGGCUUACUUGAUGGUAAAACUAGAAAUAUUUUAAUUGAAAAAGGGCGUAUUAGAGAAUAAAAUCUAACAUUUUCUAAAGAUAGUCUUGCUAGACAUUUUUCAUGUUCUUAUUUUUUUUAGAAAGUUAAGCGGAGAAACCAUCGAUAGAAAAUUGUUGAUUUACUCAAAACAAGCUAAUAAAGUAUAUUGUUUUUGUUGUAAAUAAUUCACUUUUCAAAAGUAUAAUUUUAACAAGUGAUGGAGUGAAUAAUUGGAAGCAUUUAUGUGAAAAAUUCAAACAACAUGAAAAUAGCAUUGAACAUACGACUAAUAUGAAUACUUGGAAUGAAACAAAAAUAAGACUUGAAAAAAAAUAAAUGUAUUGACAAAGAUUUGAAAAAUUGAAUUAUGCAAGAAAAAGAAAGGUGGAGACAAAUUUUAAUAAGGAUAAUAUCUGUUGUGAAAUGUCUUUCAAAAAAUAACUUAGCAUUUCGUGGAUCAAAUGGAAAACUUUGUGAAGAUAGUAAUGGAAAUUUUUUGGGGAUAAUUAAAAUGAUCAUUGAAUUUGAUUUGAUUCUGCAAGAAAAUAUUAAACGCAUAAAAAAUGAUGAAAUUCAUCAUAACUAUCUUGGCCCUAAAAUUCAAAAUGAAUUGAUAUCUCUUUUAACUCAAAGUGUUAAACAUUUUAUGAUAAAGAUAAUUAAAGAAGAAAAGUAUUUUUCAGUUAUUCUUGAUGAUGUGAGCCAUUAAGAACAAAUGACUCUAAUAGUAAGAUGUGUUAAUAUGUCAAAUAAUGAAAUAAAAGUGGAAGAAUUUUUCUUGAAAUUUUUAAAGUAGAUGAUACAUCUGGUUUAGGGCUUUUAAAAGAAUUGUUAAUUUUAUGCAAGUCCCUUGAUUUAGAUAUAGAUAAUGUUCGAGAUCAAGGUUAUGACAACGGUGAUAAUAUGAAAGGCAAACACCAAAGGGAUCAAAAAAGAAUACUUGAAUUAAAUCCAAGGGCUUUGUACAUGCCAUGUGCUUGUCAUAGUCUUAACCUCACUCUCUCUGAUAUGGUAUAUUCAUGUGUAAAACCUAUUUCCUUUUUUGGAAUUGUGCAAAGAAUGUACACAUUAUUUGCUAGCUCAACUAAGAGAUGGAAGAUUCUAACUGAUCAUGUGGAUAAGUUAACCUUAUAACCAUUGAGUAAUACUCGAUGGGAGGGUUGAGAAAAGAGCGUCAAAUCUAUUAGAUUUCAAGCCCCUAAAAUAAAAUAAGCUUUGUUAUCACUAUACAAAUCUAGUACUAAUGAUACAAUGACUAGAAGUGAAGCAUAUAGUUUAUCAAAAUUUGUUGCAAGUUUUGAGUUCUUACUUAGCUUGGUGGUUUCAAUUAACAAGGUGAGUAAAAAAUUGCAAUCUAUAUCUAUGUGCAUUGGAACAACAAUGGAGGAAGUGAAAAUUCUAAUGUUAUACUUUGAAAAGAUUAGAAAUGAAGAGUUUGAGCCUUGUAUGAAUAUUGCUAAAACUAUUGCACUUAGUAUGAACGUUGAACCUUCAUUUCCAAUAAAGCGCCAUAUAACAAGAACAAGACAAUUUGAUGAGAAUGAUGAUGAAGAAAUACAAUCACCUGAGGAGUCUUUUAGAAUCAAUUAUUUUCUUGUGGUUGUAGAUUUGGCAAUAACUUCAUUGAAAAAUAGAUAUGAAUGAUUAGAGCUAUUUGAUAAUAUUUUGGAUUUUUAUUUGAUUCUGAAAGGUUCAUCAUCAUCAUCCUACCCAAUAUAUCUCGCUCUUAGAAAGUUAAGGCCAGGGUCUGGGGAGGGAAGGACGGCGGCAACUCAUACCCAUAUAAGAGAGCGCGGCCAAAAGAGUCCCCGACUCGAGAAAGAUAAAGAGACACGAACACAAGCAAGACAACUUAAAGGCCUAUAGACAAAAAGACCACUACAAAAGAAAACAAAGAACUAAAAGGAAAGGAAACGGUAAGCGCAAGGGGUUGAGGGCACUAAGAGGUCAAAGGACGGACAUCGGUAAUCUAAAACGUGGAUAUGACGUCUCCAACUGCUCCUAUCCCUAGUCAGGUCCGCAUAGAGGUUUAACUCCUAUAAGUCUACUCUUAUUUGCUCAUCCCAAAUUUCCAAGUUCUCUUUGAUUCUAAAAGAAGAUCUUUUUCAAGAAUUAAAAGUGUCGCGAAUAAUAUUGCCAAAUGAAUUGAUGUCGGCACUUGAUAUUUUGAAGUUCGUCAAAGUUGCAGAUUGUUAUCCCAAUGUUUCAAUCGCUUAUCGCAUCCUUUUAACUAUGCCUGUAAUAGUGGCCUCUGCAGAAUGAAGUUUAUCAAAGCUAAAAUUAUUGAAGACAUAUUUGAUGUCUACUAUGUCACAAGAAAGGUUAAAAGGUCUAGCCAUUUUAUCUAUUGAGAAAAAUAUGUUGGAACAUAUUGAUGUAGAUACUAUUAUUAGUGAUUUUGCUUCUAGAAAUGCUCGUAGAAAAUGUUUUGUUUGAGUAAUUAAAGAUUGUCAACUCUUUA
This is a long non-coding RNA of Amaranthus tricolor (Joseph's coat), 3148 nucleotides long. RefSeq lists it as uncharacterized. Lineage: Eukaryota; Viridiplantae; Streptophyta; Magnoliopsida; Caryophyllales; Amaranthaceae. The transcript is spliced from 3 exons. The record is from RefSeq and is a predicted model, not a curated record.